GUCAGCAUGUGCAAGAUUCUUUUGUCGAGGAAAGCUUCCAUAAAAGAAGAAAAUACAGAUUUUCUGCAGAUGAAUACCACAUGUCUUCUAAGAAUCACAUAACAAGAAAUUAUAACAUAAUAUGAAAAUUCUUCCUAUUGAAGGGAAUGUUGUCAGAGAAUCACAAGAACAAUCUAUGUUCAGCAUGUACAAAUUUUUGGCCAUCAUUUACCAUUAACAACAUUAAUAGGAAUCUCAUUUUGUAUUUUAAAAUGCUUAUUUUUAAAAUGCUUUAUUAUAGCAGAUGCAUCAUUUUGUUUCCAUAUUAAUUUGUUGCUUGGUAUUUUGUCUAAAAAACAAAAGCAGACAAAUUACUGCAAUUACUGCACUUCUAUAUGUGAGAAAUAAUGUUGAAUAUGCACUGGUUUAAGUUUUCAGAAAUAAAAGGUGCCUUUAAAAAUAUGAAAAUUUAACAGAACUGUGAUGGUGGCCUCAAGUGAGCUAAUAAGAAAUAAACAUAAGGUGUUUAUAGCUAAUUCAAUUGACCCACUAGUAAACUCAUCAGUAUUCAUUUGUUUUGUUUUAUUUUGUUUUGUUUUUGCUUGUUUUUUUCUGUUGGACUGAUACAGCGUAAAUAUAUUUUAUUAUUUUUCUUUCAAAAUUAAUCAGAAUAUCCUGAGUGUAACACGACUGGUUAAAUAUCUCAUCCAUAGAAAAAUUGAUAUUUUGAAUGAUGUGUUUCAGGACCUUCAUCUUCCAACGAUACCAAAAGAGUUUCAAGACCAAUGUUUUCAACAAGGGAUUAAAAAUUUCCAAAGGCUAUGAAAGAAUACACAUAUCCCACAGUGCAGAACAACAGUCAUUACCAGGCUCCUCCUGUGAAGAACAAGUAGUUCACAUUUCAAUUUCUUCUAUUUGAUUAUUAAAAUGGAAAUUUUCUAUUUCUUAAUUUCCAACAAGCUAGUUAGCUAAUUAAUUUCUCUGCAGACAUGUUCCAUGAGUCCAUGUUCUCAAUUUGUUUCUUAAGACAGUGGAAAAAUGGUUGGCAGAUUAAAAAUAUCAUUUUUAGUCUCAGAAGAGUGUACAUAAAUAAACAUAUCUUCAUAGAAGGACUUAUUCAAAUGACAGCUUAGAGUAGGGCAAGAAGAUUAAAAAAGUCUGCAUUCUCUCCUAUCAACAUCAUCAGCCCUCAAACUUAUAAAAAGCAUUUACGGGAACAGCAAAUGGGAGGAGUGCCAUACAUCUAUACACACGCAUAUUUAUAUAUAGUUAAAUCAAAAUUAUUAUCCCCAAACCAAGAAAUAACCACUGUUUCACCUCAAAGGAGAAGCAAACUUUCUGUACAGGUGCAGGAUAGCACUCUUUCUUUAGAACUUGUUUGGAAGUUUAUGAUAAAGCUGCUCAGUUGAGGGGGAAAUGAGGGAAUAUUAUUAGUCCCAAGUUUAUUCAUCUGUUUUCAUUUUAAAAAAGUUUAAUAUGCCAUUUAAUGCAUAAAGCAACAUAAUUUCAUGAAAUCUUACAGAAAAGGUAAAUAUACUGAAGGAAAUGUGGUUAAUUCACAGUAGCAUAGAACUGUACUAGCUGGCAGAUUUGAGAUUUGCUGCUCUGAAAGAGCAGAACACAUAGAAGAACUAAAAUGAGUUAAACCAAAUCAUUGUGAAUAACAGUAUUUCCUAUUAAAUUACAGAAUUUUCUCACCAGAGAGAUUCGUAUGAUUUACACAGAAAGGAACAAAGAUCAGAAGGCAAAUGAGAAAGAUAUAAAUUCUGAAGAAGUCUUAACCAUAAUCCUCUCUCAUUGCCCUCAAGCAUCUGCAGUGCUUCAAUCUGGUGGCAGCUCUAAGUAAAAGAAAAUUAUAACAUUUAAAAUUGAAUUAAAUAUGGAAAUGAGUAUUGCAAUGAGAAGAGUGUCCCUGGUGAAAUUUAGCUUAGUGUGUCUCUAAGAUUUUCAGUCUGCUUUGGAUCUCAAACCAUGGUGUUGAGAUCUGACUCCUUAUGGAAGACACUACAAUAAUGGCAAGUAGGAAUGUGCCUGGCAGCAAUUCAUUGUGAGACAAGUACUUUUGUUGGAGUUUUGUUUUGUUUUGCUAUCAGUGUUUUUCAAACACACUUCUUUGGAUCCAGUUCCAUAGCUUAGGCCAAUGUCCUGUCUAUAUUCUUAACACGAUCAUUUAUCCCUUUUCUCUGUAUCUAUUUUAUUCACUUACAAAGACGUAACAAGCACCACACACUAAAGCUGGUGGCUACAUAGCAAAACAUAGCUCUCAUACCUUCUCCCCAUGGUGGAUACCUUUCCUACUGCAGUCAAACCCACUGUAAAUCUACUCACUGGAUUACUGACUGCCUGACAGUGUGCUCAGGGUGUGAACUGGGCUCAGAAAAGACAGGCUGGGAGAAGACAGCCACCUCCAAAGCAAUUUGUGCAGUAGACAGGCACUCUCCUUCAGUCUUUUUGAGACCUGAGACAAAACCGGUUCUGACCUUUGUCUCCCACAACAACUUUUUCAUCUUACAUAUGUAAAAUGAGGUGUCUCCUAAAAUCAUUGGUUGCAUGUGUCAGACACAGCUAGCAGCAUCAUCUCUGAUCUGCAGCUGUGCCUGUCCCCAGAGGAAACAGGCUGUUGCUGCCGUGCCACUACUGCCAGAGACCGAAGCAUACUGAAGGGCUCACCAGCAUGACUAGCAACAUUGCCUCACCCAUGAAUGAUUUAACGUGUGACAUUUCAAAAGUUUGGGCCUUCAAGGAAAGCAACUGUAGGUUAAAUGAAUGAUAAUGACAAUGCUCUGGAGAGCAGUCUUUCAGCAGCUACCAUUUCCACAAUGAUCUGACUCGCUUGGGGUGAAGAUGCCAGAAGUAGCACAUGGUCCACAAGUAUGCAAUACAUACCAUAGAUUACACAUUUUUCUUCUCCAAGCCUCAGCACCUUUUGACACAUAUUAACACCCUACAGGCUUAUUAGUGCAUCUACAAGCAAAUCAGAUAAAAACUUUAGCUCCCCUCUCACUUGAAAAGUAAAUACCAAGCUCAUCAAAUCAUUAAGCCAGUCUGAGGAUAGAUUUACUAUAAAUUAUCUGUCUGCAGGGAAGCUUCAAUUUGUACUCUUUGAAAUUUUCUAACUGAUGAAAAAAAAAAAAAAAAAGUAGUGCUAUUGAUACUAACUAAAUUCUGUCACUGGAGAUUGUACG
This 3164-nucleotide long non-coding RNA is filed under the name Meleagris gallopavo (turkey). RNAcentral describes it as "lncRNA (ENSMGAG00000021012.1)". Lineage: Eukaryota; Metazoa; Chordata; Aves; Galliformes; Phasianidae. The record is from RNAcentral.